CUCUCUCUCCCUCACUUUUCUCUCUCGCUGCUCUCUCUCUCGACCACCAGAUAGAGCAGCGCACCUCCAUUGAAGCCUAGACCGAGCUCUAAUCCGACGCCACUGAGCCCAAUCCGCCCAGGCUGAGGUCCCAGCAGCUUGGAGGAGGGUCGUGCGCAGCUGGCCCCUGUAGCUCCCGCGCGAAUCCCCAUCUUCCCCGGCCAAAUCGAGCCUUCACGCGUCGUCUUCCCCAACUCCGGCGAGCCGAUCCGGCCGCACGUCGAGCCGCCACUGCAGAGCUCUUUCCGGAUAAACGAGCACACGGCAUCUAAUGGCCCAAACCACCUUAGCAUCUAUUUACGUGGUGAGCGCUGGCACCCGUGACUACGUGCAGAACUGCUGCGUGAACCCGAUGCUCAGCGCCGCCUACUCGCCCGACCUGUUCGCUGACGCGCUCAUGCAGCCGGUCACCUCCUUCGAUGAGGUACGCAUGAUCAUUCAUCAAAAACUCGACCGCAAUGCCCAUGCUUUUGGAGACCUGGGUCCAGUCCACUGCUAGUGUUAUUGUCGUCACAUAUCGUCUCUAGUUGCUUCGUUAGGGAGAACCGGCGGAGCAUGAUUCAAUCAUAGGCCAUAAGAAACAGUCUCUUGUGAAUCAUUGUUCUACAUCUACACUGUUUACCAUAAAUGUGAGCUUUCAAUCUUAGAAAUCAUUGAAUUUGUGAUAGUGAAAUCCUGCUCUUAAUUAACAACUAAAGCUCUCUUUUUAUUUUA
Phragmites australis (common reed) is the source of this 753-nucleotide long non-coding RNA. RefSeq lists it as uncharacterized. The transcript has 2 exons. NCBI's taxonomy places the organism in Eukaryota, Viridiplantae, Streptophyta, Magnoliopsida, Poales, Poaceae. The record is from RefSeq and is a predicted model, not a curated record.